RNAcentral lists this ribosomal RNA (203 nucleotides) under uncultured bacterium. RNAcentral's name for it is "partial 16S ribosomal RNA". It matches the Rfam family "Bacterial small subunit ribosomal RNA", at positions 1300 to 1500 of the family's 1533-position model. The record is from RNAcentral.
GUAGGCUGCAACUCGCCUACACGAAGCUGGAAUCGCUAGUAAUCGCGGAUCAGCACGCCGCGGUGAAUACGUUCCCGGGCCUUGUACACACCGCCCGUCACACCAUGAGAGUCUGUAACACCCAAAGCCGGUGGGAUAACCUUUAUAGGAGUCAGCCGUNUAAGGUAGGACAGAUGAUUAGGGUGAAGUCGUAACAAGGUACC